Molecule: small nucleolar RNA, 73 nt
Organism: Bufo gargarizans (Asiatic toad)
Lineage: Eukaryota; Metazoa; Chordata; Amphibia; Anura; Bufonidae
Product: small nucleolar RNA SNORD99
Exons: 1
Source: RefSeq, a predicted model, not a curated record
GCUGGCCAAUGAUGACUGCAGUUAUUAGUGGACAGAUUGAAUGAGAGAUGCGGAUAUGGGACUGAGACCAGCA